Molecule: long non-coding RNA, 645 nt
Filed under: Homo sapiens (human)
Lineage: Eukaryota; Metazoa; Chordata; Mammalia; Primates; Hominidae
Description: HSALNT0367705
Source: RNAcentral
CUCCCAUUUAAGAUACCCCAUGUCACAAAAUCAUCUAGUAUCAUGCAGAAAAAAUGUCUAAAGAACCAAAACAGAUUCAAUGCAGUGACGGCAGAAAGUGUAUGGGCAUGAAGAUUCAAAGAAAAAGAUGCGGCCGUUGAAAGAUUUAUAUGCUCCUUUGCUCCAGGUACCUGAACCACUAAGGCCAGUUUCACCAAAUUCAUUUAGUCCAGAAGCACCAACACCAAGUUCAUCUGCACUCUUACCUCCUCCACCACUUCCAGAAUCAGAAGACCAAGUGUUUCCUCCUAAUGGAAAUCAAAAUGAGAAAUCUCUUGAGACCUCACUCAGAGUGCACAUCCUUACCACAGUACAAGGCUAAUGAGCUUGGAUCGAUGGUGUUCUCAGCCCAGUGGACUGAAAACAAUAGAUUGAAGAUUUGUGGCAACCCUGUGACUACCAACUCUAUUGAAACCAUUUCUCCAAUAGCAUGAGCUCACUUCAGAAUGAAUGAAUGAGAAUUUAUCCUUGAAGAGGCCCUACAAAGAUUCAUUGAUCUGAGGAGAAGUAAAGAGAUAGAGCCACAGUUGAGGUAAUACCAGGAGCAGGGCUGGUAGGCCUGAAUAAAUGGUUGACUUAUUUUAUAAAUGUCUCAGCUAGAUCUGU